UAGUGCGGUAGCGUAUGCGUUAAGUGUACCGCCUGGGGAGUACGGCAGCAAGGCUGAAACUCAAAGGAAUUGACGGGGGCCCGCACAAGCGGUGGAGCAUGUGGUUUAAUUCGAUGAUACGCGAAGAACCUUACCAGCGCUUGACAUCCUAUGAAUUUAGCAGAGGAUAUUUGGUGCUUUUGGGAAACGAGUUACGAGCAAGUCACGGCUGUUGUCCUUUUUGUUUCUGAGAAAAGGGGUUAAUUCCCCAACGAGGGCAAUCCUUUUCUUCAGUUGCCAGCAUCUUGGUUUGGAACCCUAAGGAGACUUCCGGGGAUAAAAAGGAGGAAAAGGGGGAGGAGGUCAAGUCUUCAUGGGCCCUACAGGCUUGGUUUCACACCCGUUACACAUGUUGGUACAGAAAGCAGAGAAAUGCAGAGAGUAAGACCAUCUCACAAAAACACUCUUUGUCCGGAUCGCAGUGUGCAACUAGUAUCCCCCAAAUCGGAAUCGUUAUAGAUCGCUGAUCAGCGCUUCCCCGGGGAAUACGUUUCCGGGCCGUGGACACCACCCCCCUCCCCCCCCGGAGCCGCUGCCCCAUAAGGAGAGAUUUUCCCCGGGAGGACGAUUACCACGCGUCCCAAGAGUGGGGAAGUCGUAACAAGGUAACCAAGGGCGAA
Molecule: ribosomal RNA, 659 nt
Filed under: uncultured organism
Description: bacterial SSU rRNA
Rfam family: Bacterial small subunit ribosomal RNA
Source: RNAcentral